CUACGGGACGCAGCAGUGAGGAAUAUUGCACAAUGGGGGGUACCCUGAUGCAGCAACGCCGCGUGGAGGAUGACGCAUUUCGGUGUGUAAACUCCUUUUAUAUGUCAAGAAAAUGACGGUAGCAUAUGAAUAAGCACCGGCUAACUCCUUGCCAGCAGCCGCGGUAAUACGGAGGGUGCAAGCGUUACUCGGAAUCACUGGGCGUAAAGGACGCGUAGGCGGGUUGGAAAGUCAGGUGUGAAAUCCUACAGCUUAACUGUAGAACUGCACUUGAAACUUCUAAUCUAGAGUAUGAGAGGGGGAGAUGGAAUUAGUGGUGUAGGGGUAAAAUCCGUAGAUAUCACUAGGAAUACCUAAAGCGAAGGCGAUCUCCUGGAACAUUACUGACGCUAAGGCGUGAAAGCGUGGGGAGCAAACAGGAUUAGAUACCCCGGUAGUC
RNAcentral lists this ribosomal RNA (439 nucleotides) under uncultured bacterium. RNAcentral describes it as "partial 16S ribosomal RNA". It matches the Rfam family "Bacterial small subunit ribosomal RNA", at positions 339 to 795 of the family's 1533-position model. The record is from RNAcentral.